CCAGCUGCCGGUCCUGGAACACCCAGAACUGGGGCCCUGCAGGGCGGAGGCCGGGAGGUCAGGGGUGGGCUCCCCGCGCCGGCCCCAGCGCGCCCCGCCGCCGGCCCCACUCACCGCUAAAGAGGAGGAUUCGGCCGUCUCGGUGCCGAGCAUAGGCGGCCUGCACCACCCUCACCUGGGCGGGCAGCCCCUCCCAGAAGCGGUGCAGCCGUGCGGGCCGCGGGGACACCAGCUGUCCGGAGGGCUGGAGGCGCCAGAACCAGGGGCCUGCAGGGGACAAAGGGGUUCGCAGGAAGGCAUGAGACAGCAGGAGGUCUCCUCCCCCAGGGUGUGUGGCUGGGUGGGGAGGGGUCCCAUCUGGAAAUCAAGGGCGCAAUGGAUCUAGGGUGACCAGCCCAUCCUGGCCCGCCUGAGACUUUUCCCUUUUUAGCACUAAAAGUGCCAGGGCCUUGCCUGGUGGCUCAGACCUGUAAUGCCAGCACAUUGGGAGGCUGACACCGGAGAAUCACCUGAGCCAGGAGAUUGAGCCCAGCCUGGGCAAUAUAGUGAGACUCCAUCUCUACGAAAUAAUAAAAUGAAUUACUAGCAAGGCGUGGUGGCAUGUGCCUGUGGUCCCAGCUACCAGGGAGGCUGAGGUGGGAGGAUCGCUUGAGCCCAGUAUUUUGAGGCUGCAGUGAGCCAUGAUCACACCACUGCACUGCGGCCCAGGCAACAGAGCAAGACCCUGUCUCAAAGAAGAAAAAAGUUCCACUUCCAGGGUAAGCCCACAGCCCCAGUGGGUCACUGGAAGUGGGCAGGAAACCAACAUAUAUGAGGCCAAGUGAAAUGACUCACCUUUGAAGAAGAAAGUUUCCCCUCGGAUGUUGGCGAUGGCGUCAAAAUUGCCCUCACAUCGAUCAGGGAUGGGGAAGGAUGGGCUGGGAGGAAAGGAGAGAGUUGCUGCAGGCCAUCGCGGUCAUCCUGAGACAGGCGGUACUUGUCAGGGUCGCCCACCGGACCC
Molecule: non-coding RNA, 1000 nt
Filed under: Pan troglodytes (chimpanzee)
Lineage: Eukaryota; Metazoa; Chordata; Mammalia; Primates; Hominidae
Source: RNAcentral